GAAUGUUGAGUUUUAAGCCAGCUUUUUCACUCUCCUCUCCAGCACCACCUGGGAAGACCGCUUUGACCACAUACCACUAGGCAUAUCUAAGGUCAAGGAAGGUUUGGAAAUAUAGUUCAGGUGUGUGCCUAGGUAGAGAAGGAACCGGGUUUGGUAAACAGCUAGCUAAUCUCUGUCACUGUGGUUAAAUAAGUUAGUCUGUGUUAGAUGUCUAUGAAUAAAGAAUUCAGAGUAAAAUCAUUCAUUACUGUAUAUUUGUGUUCAUAAAAUCUGGAAACCACUUAUUUCAGAAAAUUUCCAAAGUCUCUGUCUAUGAUAAAAACUAUUCUGUAUACUUGAGAGCUGCCUUUUAUAUAUUCUCUCAGGAGAAGAAAGAAAGGAGAAACUUGAUUUUUGUAAAAAUUCCAUUUGUAUCUGAAUUGCUUUAUAAGACUGUGAAAUAUUUACAUAUAAGUUAUAGUUUUGACUUGAUUAUAAAACCUGCCAGAAUUCCAUUCAAAGGUAUGGUUUUUCUAAUAGUGUGGCUAUAAACACUGCAAAAUGCAUUUCUGAGGGUUUGAAAUCUUACCUUCUAGAAAGGAAUGGAUAUUUCUAAAAUUUCUAAAUUCUAAGGCCUGGGUAAAUCCUGCAGUUUUCAUUCAGAUUGUCUUACCAUAUGUUUCUUUUCUAAUUUAAUACUGCUUAAAACUAUAAGCUCCAGAAGAAUGAGGUUCAGUCCAUUGGUAAGAAAGAUAGAAAAGUGAUAAUAGGAAAAAACUAGCAUUUGCUGAGGCUUAUUUGUCAGGACUGUAUGAGGCACUGUGCCCACACAUUUGACUUCCUUGAAUCCUCACAUCAACACUGCAAGAAAGGUAGUGAGCCCAGUUUUUUCAGUGAGGAUCCUUUGUCUCUGGGAGGCUAACUAACUCACCUGUGGUCCCAAGCCAGGAAAGGACAAAGCUUGGAUGUGAGCUGAGGCCUAUCUGGCACCAAAACCCAGAUUCUUGAAUACAGCAGACUGGAAAAGAGAAUGAAAAUGAAAAACUUGGGAAACGAGCUAGAGACCAACACUACGGAGCUUUGAAAUUUGAUUCCUCAGUCUUUUCUUUCCUAAGAAAUCCCUGGAGGUGAUUUUUUUGAUCGCCCCUCAUAGCCUGCGGGAUCUUAGCUCCCUGUUGUUAAGUCGCCAAGUUAUGUCCGACUCUUUAUGACCCUGUGGACGGUAGCCCACCAGUCUCCUCUGUCCAUGGGAUUUUCCAGGCAAGAAUACUGGAGUGGGUUGCCAUGUCCUCCUUCAGGGGAUCUUCUUCCCAAUCCAGAAAUCAAGUUGAUCUUAGUUCCCUGACCAGGAAUCAUACCUAUGCCCCUGCUGUAGAAGUACAGAGUCUUAACCACUGGACCACCAGGGAAGUUUCCACAGAGGUGCUUAAUUCCUUUGUAUCUGUUAGCCACUAGCUCUGCAGAAAGACUGAAGUCACAUGUAAGGUUAGAGCUUCAGAUCUUAGUACCAGCUCUCUGAUGUUUCUGGUCACUUAUUGAAAUCCCUCUGCAGGGUUUUUUUCCAAACCAGUUGUCUAAGGGAGCAAUCAAGUUCCAACCUAGCUCUUGACUGGGAAGGUAUGGCUGCCUUGAUCACAUCUCCAUGGGAAAAAUGAAACUGACAGAUUAAGGGAGUAAUUCCAAGAAUAACUUUGGCACUAGACCUAAGACUGGAAAACAAUUUUCCUUCUCCUUUGGGCAGAGAAAAUACCUCAAGGACAGUAAAAUGUGCAGGAGAAUCAGGCCGAGGGCCAUUUUUCCUCUUCUCUUCUGCCAGGGUUCAUGUGUGUAAAACAGAUGAACUGUUUGCUACCUUCCUGAGUUUUUACUCAGCUGUUUAUAGCAGAUCUGUGAAUAUGCACAUCGUAAAGUUAAAAAUAAAGCCAAAUAGCAAGACUUCAGAGUGGGAGAGACAAGAAAAUACUUGUACUUUACAAGAAUUAAACUAAAAUUCCAACCUCAACUAUAUAAGCCAUUACAUAGAAUGCAAAGAAGAUAAAGAAACAACAGUGCUAAAAUGUAUUCCCAGUAAAUUGAUACAUUCUCUGUGGAAUCUUUUUGCAAAAAUGGAAUAUGGAUUAAAGAUUAAAGUAAUGUACCAAUGGUUAUAAUUCAAAGUGAAAGUGAAGUCAAAGUGUUAA
This is a long non-coding RNA of Bubalus bubalis (water buffalo), 2159 nucleotides long. RefSeq lists it as uncharacterized. The transcript has 2 exons. The record is from RefSeq and is a predicted model, not a curated record. NCBI's taxonomy places the organism in Eukaryota, Metazoa, Chordata, Mammalia, Artiodactyla, Bovidae.